CCAAUGUAUAAAUGCAGUGAGAAACAGCGUGACCUAGCCUUCCGAAUAAUCUCACUGCGCCUCCGCCGCCUUUCCUGGCACUCUUCGCUUAUUCGCCGUCUCGAAAAUAGCAGAUCUAAUCUCCCGAUUGUGCUCGCCGCUUCCUCACCCUCACCAGGCGCAUCCGACUAGAUCCUCCGCUGGUAAAGCAGCGUAAGGGAUAAUUAGGAAUUGGAGGCACGCAGGAGAUUGCUGCUGGUUUUUUCUUUAAUCUUAAAUUAUACAGUAUUGGAUAUCUCAGUCUCAAUAAUUGAUACUCAUUUUUUUAGUCAGACCAGUCGGAGAGAUUCGAUCAGUUGGACUUUGGAGAGGAUGAAUACUCGGUUUGUGAAUUUGAUAGUGCAGGACUUGAGCCGUCGCAUGUAUUCGCUGCAUCGUCUGGAUCCCUUGAAGUACCUCUUCUAUCCGUCAACAGAAGCACGAAAAGCAGCACUAGCAAAAACGGAGAAGAACAAACCACCUAUGCUAGAGCGCUUGUCGGUUCUGCCUAAGCCGGAAAUCAAUUUUCAUCCCAUGUCUAGUUUAACACAUAGUAGUAUGAACAGGGAUUCGUUCUCUCUACUUGGAAAAGACAGUAUUGUUUUCAGUGACUCCUUUAGUAAGACAAUACUCUACAACAUUGAGCUGGGAACUGUUGCAAGCAUCCCUCGUAUCAAUUCAUGCAUGGUUCCUUUUGGCAUGAGCCUCCCCAUGAUCCAAGACAAUCUUGUUGACCGGACAGAAGAUCAAUCUCUCUAUGUUAUGGACCUGUCACGUGACGCCAACAUCAGCAGCUGCUUCGAGGUCCUUAGAUGCGACGAUGGUUGGGGCUGGCAUACUUUGCCGGCGCCGCCAUUCCUCUCUCACAAUCCUUCCUUCUGAAGAACCAUCAACAGGUGUUGCUACACAGUGGUCGACAGCUCCACCAUCUGCAUAUCAUCUAUGGAUCAGGGCAUAGGCACGUACACCUUCGACACAGCGAGUCGUGUAUGGAGACAGGUUGGCAAAUGGGUACUACCCUUCUAUGGCAAAGCUGAGUAUGUCCCUGAGCUCAAACUCUGGUUUGGCCUCUCAGAAUGCAAUGGCUCUCCCAGGUUAUGCGCCCUGGACCUCUCUGCCAUGGACGCUGAGCAGCCACCAACACUGCAGAAUACUUGGGAUUAUCUUGAUCUGUUUGAGGAUAAGAAGACGGUGAUAUCUGAACACCAUCUGGUUAACUUGGGCUCUGGCAUGUUUUGCAUUGCCACGCUCCUUAGGACUAUUCUGCACACAUUUAGCCCAGACUCCCCAUGCUCUUCAGGUGAGGAAAUUAUGAUGGAUAUGAUGGAUGGGGAGUUUAUUUUCUUAACUGGUGUGGAAGUGGAGAGAUGCUGCAACGAAGGUCAGGCUCCUUUCAAGAUGAUCAAGCACAAGUCUAUAUAUUAUGACUUGAAACACCGUACCAUAAAGUCCGUGCUCUAAGCAAGUUUUUGGGUCACAUGGAUGCUGCUCCUUGGCACGCUUCUCCCACAUUCACUCUUGCCAUGGCAAGUCCUUGGAAUAACUCCGAUGGACCUUAGUAUUGUAGCGUGCUAUAGAUCAUUUUGUGGUCUUAUUAUUUUAUUGGUUACUGCUUCAAAGGCUUGCCUAAUUUAUCUGUACGCUUUGUUUGUUUUAAGGAAAUGUAUGAGACGCUCAGUGAUUUUCA
Triticum aestivum (bread wheat) is the source of this 1705-nucleotide long non-coding RNA. RefSeq lists it as uncharacterized. The record is from RefSeq and is a predicted model, not a curated record. The transcript has 2 exons. NCBI's taxonomy places the organism in Eukaryota, Viridiplantae, Streptophyta, Magnoliopsida, Poales, Poaceae.